This is a long non-coding RNA of Megalobrama amblycephala (Wuchang bream), 151 nucleotides long. RefSeq lists it as uncharacterized. The transcript is spliced from 3 exons. Lineage: Eukaryota; Metazoa; Chordata; Actinopteri; Cypriniformes; Xenocyprididae. The record is from RefSeq and is a predicted model, not a curated record.
UUCAGAAGAGCAGCAAGUCACACCUGAAAAUUAUGAUGAUGUAAUCACUGUUGGACUGAGACCUCGUGAUACAGAAAACUAUGAUGAUGUCAUCAUUGUACGACAAUUCUCCAAUGAUAAAGCAGACUAUGAUGAUGUGGGGGAGGAGCCA